GUGUUUAAGUUUUGCCGGAGAAGAGUGGACGCAACGGAAGUCUCUCUUUUUUUCUUUCUUGCUCAGCGCAAGUGACAUUUAGGGAAGGUGGUUUCUUGAUCAGCACAAGUUACAUUUAAGGGAAGUGGUCACUGCAGUGAUUAUGUUGCUGACCUCGCUUAGUUGCGGUCAGUAAACGAAAGAAUAGAUGUAUUGUGAUUGAAGAACACAGGCGUUUUAUAAAGAAUAGAUCGCCUGGAAAUAGUGAGUGCACCAGUACUACCACACAUGGAAUGGAGACACACUGGGAGGAUCUUGCCUUUCUGGAUUCUAGAAUGAUGUGAGAUCUGACGGUUCUGGGAACAUUGGUGAUUCUCUGCUCUCUUGGUGUUUCGUCCUCUUUUACCUGCCUAGUUGGAGUGUGGAGACGUGGAUGUCAUAUUAUAGUCGAGUUUGAACCUCACCCACCCUGAGGACUGAGGACUGAGACCCUCCUCUGUCCUGUUCCGUCCUGCUUCCAGGCAACAUGAUGGAGCCCCUAGUCGACCGGCCCGGGCCCCAGAUAGGAAGGUCCUCUCUGGGGGAGAGAAUGGCCUCCUGCUGCUCCUACAGAACCCUCCAGGCCUGGCUCCCCAUCCUCACCUGGUUACCCAAGUACAGGCUGAGCUGGCUCCAGAUGGACCUGAUAGCAGGUCUCACCGUGGGUCUAACCACCGUACCACAGGCCCUGGCUUAUGCUGAGGUGGCCGGCCUACCUGUACAGUACGGCUUGUACUCAGCCUUCAUGGGUGGGUUCAUCUAUACGUUUCUGGGAACCUCCAAGGAUGUAACCCUGGGUCCUACUGCCAUCAUGUCCCUGCUGUGUGCCUCCUACGUGGGGGGAGACCCGGUCCGAGCCGUCCUCCUCAGCCUGAUCUGUGGAACCAUACAGACCGCCAUGGCUCUACUACGUUUGGGGUUUCUUCUGGACUUCAUCUCAUUUCCGGUGAUCAAAGGCUUCACCUGUGCUGCCGCGGUAACCAUAGGCUUCGGUCAAGUCAAGAAUGUGCUGGGACUGAAGGACAUACCUCAUGAGUUCUUCCUGCAGGUCUACUACACCUUCUACAGGAUACCCGAGACCAGGAUAGGAGACGUGGUUCUAGGUCUGCUGUGUCUGUGUCUGCUGGUGACGUUGCAGUGGAUGAAGAGUACCCUGGAACCCCCGUCAGAACAGAACGCCCUCCUCACCAGGGCCGCUCACAGUCUGGUCUGGGGCAUCGCUACCGUGCGUAAUGCGUUGGUCGUAGUGGCGGCGACCUUCGUGGCGUUCUCAUGGAACGCGUUUGGCUCACCGGUCUUCACCAUUACCGGGAAAACAUCCCAGGGCCUGCCGCCGUUCAGAGCCCCUCCCCUCUUUGAGACCACGCCCAACGGUACCAGCAUCAGCUUCGGAGAGAUCAUAGAGGAUUUUGGAGGAGGGCUGGCUGUCAUCCCCUUCAUGGGAGUACUGGAGAGCAUUGCCAUCGCUAAAGCCUUCGCCAGUCAGAAUGACUAUAGGAUCAAUGCCAACCAGGAACUGUUUGCUAUUGGUCUAACCAACAUUAUGGGAUCCUUCGUCUCAGCCUAUCCGGUCACAGGAAGCUUCGGAAGGACUGCAGUGAACUCCCAGACAGGGGUGUGUACUCCAGCCGGAGGCAUAGUCACUGGUGUGGUAGUGCUGUUGUCCCUGGCCUUCCUGAUGCCAGCGUUCUACUACAUCCCUAAAGCCUCUCUGGCAGCAGUCAUCAUCUGUGCUGUGGCUCCCCUGGUCGACUACCGCGUCGUCAUGCAGUUCUGGAGGAUACGCAAGCUUGAUCUGGUGCCGUUCCUGAUCACCUUCCUGUUGAGUUUCUGGGAGGUGCAGUACGGCAUUGUGGGAGGUGUAGUUGUUUCUGGACUCAUGCUGCUCUACAAUGUAGCCAGGCCCAGCAUAAAGGUGUGUGAUCAUGGUGUUUUGGUGAUGGAGUUAGAUAGUGGACUCAGUUUCCCCUCCACAGAGUACCUCAACACUGUCCUAUACACUCAGGCACUGCAGGCCUCUCCUCCUAGGUCAGUGGUCCUGGACUGUCAUCAUGUCAAUACUGUAGACUAUACAGUUGUCAACGAGCUCAGGGACCUGCUACGACAGUUCAAACUACGAGGGGUCGGACUCAUCUUCUCUGGCCUGCAGUAUUCGGUCUUGGAGGUCCUGUUGGCAGCAGACCUGCCGGAUCUUAGACACACCGCCAGUGUGGAGGCGGCACUAACCAUCCUAUCGGGUAGCACUCAGUGACUGACACUGCAACCAACCAAUCACAGACGAGAACAGUGAUAUAUAUAUAUAUAUUUUAUGCUGUCCUGAACCAAUUCCUGCUGAGUACACCGAUUUACACUCGACUCAACGGACCCUGACACUGAAAUCAGAAUGAUUGGUAUGGAUCUGGACCAAUCAGGGUACAGCGGUGGCCAAGAAUGUCCCGCCCCCUCACCAAUUGAUUGGCUGUCAAGCAGUUGACAGGUUGUCAAUCCCCUUUUUUUAACCAAGCAUGAGAACCGAUCUCUUAUGCUUUUCCACUUUGAAGAUGCUGCUGUGUGAUCGGUUUCAUCUUGUAGCUUUUAUAAUGACUUUUAUGUUGUUGAAGUUAUCUGUAGACACUGAUCAAGUCUAGAGUAGGUUUGUGGUUUCUAUCACUAAUGGACAUUUGAAUGUCUCAGUGUGCAGUUUGAAGGUAGUUUCUGGCUCAUUGCUAACUAGCGUUAGCAUAAUGACGGGAAGUUUACAGGAACAGCUAGCACACACACACUACCUUUAUCCUGGGUCUGUUUUAACACGUUUGCUCUGUGCGUUAACCCCUUCAGAGCCAACAUACACAGAGGAACUGGAGGACAGGAAAUCACUUCUCAGGAAGUGACGUAAGGAAAGAAGCCCCACCCUCUCAGCACUUAACUUCCUGUUUGUGUUCCAAAUCAAAAUUCCAAAUCCUUUCCAAGCCCCUACCCCUGUGUCCCAAUCCUGGUCCCGCGGACCCUUAAGGGGGGCACAUUUUAGUUUUCUGCACUCACAAACCUGAUUCAACCAAAUGCUUGAUGAGAAGUUUAUUAGUUGAAUCAAGCUAAAAACAAAACCUGUGCACCGCCUUGGCUCCCCGGACCAGGAUUGGGAAGCCCUCACCGGAGUCAGUGUGUGUGGAUAGGUGGAAGCAAUAUGGAGGAAAUAGCACUUAACCUGUCCAGAGAUAUAACUGUAUAUCUAAUACCUAUGGAAUGUUUUGAUUUGAUUUACAUAGGUGUUAGGUCUCUAUCUGGUAUAGGACGUGUUAAAUAUCCUUAGACUGGUGAGGUACUUACACUAUUGCAACUUUGUUUUUAACUGUUCUUCUUAUACGCAUUAAUACAUAUAAUAUAUUAUUGUAUACAUUUGCUUGAUCAAUUAGACUUUGAUAAAUUACAAUUAUUGAUCACUUUCAAAUUGAUCAAUUGUACUUUAUUGGUUGCCUCUAUUGGAUGAGAAGUUGACUGUCUCCUACUCUCUCUCUGUGUGUGUGUGUGUGUGUGUGUGUGUGUGUGUGUGUGUGUGUGUUUGUUUGUUUACCUGUACGAUCAUGACCAUAAGAAGAAUAUCACAUUCCAAAUGGUUUGUGCCUUGCAUGUUCUGCACUUAAUACAAUUAUUAUGUUGUUUUUUAACACUUUGAAACUUUCUAAUUCUUACUUAGAAAUGUAUUUGAUAAGACUGACAAUUUGUAUCCAGCUCCAAACUUAGUUUUAUGCAGUGAAUUAACCAGUGUUGUAAAGUGCUUAAGUAAAGAUACUUUAAAGUAC
Molecule: non-coding RNA, 3797 nt
Organism: Oncorhynchus mykiss (rainbow trout)
Lineage: Eukaryota; Metazoa; Chordata; Actinopteri; Salmoniformes; Salmonidae
Source: RefSeq, a predicted model, not a curated record